Molecule: ribosomal RNA, 249 nt
Filed under: uncultured bacterium
Lineage: Bacteria
Description: partial 16S ribosomal RNA
Rfam family: Bacterial small subunit ribosomal RNA
Source: RNAcentral
GCAAGUCGAGGGGUAUCAGGGGAGCUUGCUCUCGCUGACGACCGGCGCACGGGUGCGUAACGCGUAUACAAUCUACCUUUUGCUGAGGGAUAGCUUAGAGAAAUUUGGAUUAACACCUCAUAGUAUGUAUUAAUGGCAUCAUUAAUAUAUUAAAGGUUACGGCAAAAGAUGAGUAUGCGUUCUAUUAGCUAGAUGGUGUGGUAACGGCACACCAUGGCAACGAUAGAUAGGGGCCCUGAGAGGGGGAUC